GACGAACGCUGGCGGCGUGCUUAACACAUGCAAGUCGAACGGAAAGGCCCUGCUUUUGUGGGGUGCUCGAGUGGCGAACGGGUGAGUAACACGUGAGUAACCUGCCCUUGACUUUGGGAUAACUUCAGGAAACUGGGGCUAAUACCGGAUAGGAGCUCCUGCUGCAUGGUGGGGGUUGGAAAGUUUCGGCGGUUGGGGAUGGACUCGCGGCUUAUCAGCUUGUUGGUGGGGUAGUGGCUUACCAAGGCGUUGACGGGUAGCCGGCCUGAGAGGGUGACCGGCCACAUUGGGACUGAGAUACGGCCCAGACUCCUACGGGAGGCAGCAGUGGGGAAUAUUGCACAAUGGGCGGAAGCCUGAUGCAGCAACGCCGCGUGCGGGAUGACGGCCUUCGGGUUUUAAACCGCUUUCGCCUGUGACGAAGCGUGAGUGACGGUAAUGGGUAAAGAAGCACCGGCUAACUACGUG
Molecule: ribosomal RNA, 468 nt
Filed under: uncultured bacterium
Lineage: Bacteria
Description: partial 16S ribosomal RNA
Rfam family: Bacterial small subunit ribosomal RNA
Source: RNAcentral